UACGUAGGUGGCAAGCGUUAUCCGGAUUUAUUGGGUGUAAAGGGUGCGUAGGCGGGAUGCCAAGUCAGCGGUAAAAAUGCGGUGCUCAACGCCGUCGAGCCGUUGAAACUGGCGUUCUUGAGUGGGCGAGAAGUAUGCGGAAUGCGUGGUGUAGCGGUGAAAUGCAUAGAUAUCACGCAGAACUCCGAUUGCGAAGGCAGCAUACCGGCGCCCUACUGACGCUGAGGCACGAAAGCGUGGGUAUCGAACAGG
RNAcentral lists this ribosomal RNA (252 nucleotides) under uncultured bacterium. RNAcentral describes it as "partial 16S ribosomal RNA". It matches the Rfam family "Bacterial small subunit ribosomal RNA", at positions 524 to 776 of the family's 1533-position model. The record is from RNAcentral.